Molecule: long non-coding RNA, 2223 nt
Filed under: Coffea arabica (coffee)
Lineage: Eukaryota; Viridiplantae; Streptophyta; Magnoliopsida; Gentianales; Rubiaceae
Description: long non-coding RNA (CARA_LNC000446)
Source: RNAcentral
GGAUGGUUGGGAUUUUUUUUGGGUUUCUAAUCUCUUCUUCUUUCUCUCUCUAGCCUUUUGGAUCUUUUUUUGUGUGGGGGUUUAGCAGUCAAAUUUUUAUAUAUUAAUUUGUAUAUAUCUUUGAUGUUGCAGGUGCAAAAAAAAUGGAAAUGUCUUUUAGCAUCCAGCAUCUCGAUGAGAGUGAGUUUGUGUAACUUUUUUCCCUUUUUUAUAAAGUGCGUCUCUUUUGUUUUUCUAUUUCCUUCCUAAGUUAUUGCCUGAUUUUUUAGCAACUGGUAGUGGAAUCCUCUGGAAUGUAUUUGUUAAAGAGCUUUCAGGUUAGAGUUUGGGAUCCAAAGAAGCCCUUACUGUCAAGAUUUUGCAUAAAUCCUAUGGUUAGAAUUUUGGAACCCCAUCUCGUGUCUUGAUGUUUUAUAUGGGUUAUUUGGAGAAGCAAAAGUCGGAGAUUUUUACUUUUCUCUCUUUCUCUUUAGAAAGGAAACCCCUUUUCCCCUUUUCUUGCCUAAGGACUACUUGUAGUUUUUUUUUUUUGUGAGAAAGAGAUGGGAAAAAAUUGUCACUUUCUAUUUUCUUGUAUUUUUUUGUUAACUAAUAUGCUCCAAGAGAUCUAGGAUCUUUCAGAAAAAUUUGAAGUGUCGUUUUAUGUAUUUGUAUGAAUUGAUUUAUUGUGUUUUCAUUUGUUUAUUUGUUAUUGUUAGGGUAUAAAUGAAGAAUUAAGAGGCGAAUUUGACGGUAAAUUUGCAGGCUUGGAGUGAAAGGUUACAAUAGAGAAAAAUGAAAGCUUCCCAGAAUAUCAUACCCAAGGGUUCUCUCUCUCUCUCUCUCAGUGUCCGUUUUUUCUGUUAAAUCCACUUUUGAUUAAUUAAGUUUCAACUAUGAAUUUUUUUUACUGCAAAUAUCCUUAUGUUAGUAUAAUUUGCUUUAAAUUACUGGUAGUUUAAAUUGCUUGGAGUAUAAUUUUUUUGUAUUGAAAAAUUUUGAAGUAAGUGAUCUUACUUGCUGGUCAAAGUAGAACCAUACGAGGCCCUGUUGGGUUUAUUAUCAAUGGUUUCUUACUACAAGCAUAUUUUUUUUAAGUGUACAAUGUUGAUUACUCUUAAAUGAUAGGGAAGGUGGGUAUAUGAUUUCUAAGGUAUAAAAAUUGCUAAUGAGUCAGGAAAUCUUGAAACAAGGUCUCUGACCCUAGGCUUGAGAAAUCUUGAAGGUUUCUGAACCUCCCGGUUUGGCUUGCCUCUCCGUGUUCUGUAAUUUUGUUUUUUAGAAUUAGUUAUUUGUAUCAUUUUAAUUUUUCGGUUUAUUCCUAAUACCAACUUACUAUUCUUGUUCCAGGUUUUUCCUUCUCAUUUUACUUGAAAUCUAUGCUCUUUUUUUUCACAUGUAAAUGCAUAUUUUUCCCUGGCAUCGUUAACACAAUAUUUUGUGUUGUCUCUUUCUUUUUGGCCACUUGGCAAAUUGAUUCGAUAAUAUUCUUAAAUCUUAACUGAAUUCUUUCUGCAUUUAGAAGCUUGAUUUUAUUUUCUUAAAUUUGUUUUCUAACAACCUUCCAUUCUUUGUUUGCUCCCUGCAUAAUCAAAUGCAGUUUAUUUUUAUAUGAUAUUGUGGAUUUUUUAAAAUUCUUCUUUUUCCUUUGCUUGCAUAUAGUUUUGGGAUAAUCUGUUGUUUAUACAUUUCCCCUUUCCUUGCUUUGUUUGUCAAACCUGUCAUUCUAUAAUUCUUUAGGGGCCUAUUAUUGCUUGUAAAUGAUGGGUUGUCCUGACUACUUGAUGUGUAUUGUGUAUAAAUUUGUAUUUAAUAGUCUGUGAAGAUGGCAACUUAUGUGCCGUAACCUAUUUUUGUUUAGCGGUUUUGUUAUCCUGUUUUAUUUACUUUAAAAUCUCACAUGAAAAAUGCUUCUUUACUAAAGUGAACAAUUCUGAUUCGUACACAACUUCUAGGAUAUUUCUGAAUUGUUGAGUCUUGCAUUUGUUAGUAGCUUAUAUUUCCAAAAUGCAAAACUUUUAUGUGCUUUUGUUUGUGGAUUUAGGUACUUCUUCAAACACUGCAUUUGGUAAACCUCUCUUCUGCACUCCUUCGAGAAGUAAUAGCUAGUGUUAACAGGUAUGCUUUGUUAUUCAAUCGUUCUUUUUCUUGUGUUUCACUUUGACAUCUCAGUGGCUUUUUUUUCUUAAAUUAAAAGUGGAUUAAAAUCUUGAAGGUUUCACCAUACCCAAGGGACAGAGAGUA